This 1477-nucleotide ribosomal RNA is filed under the name uncultured bacterium. RNAcentral's name for it is "16S ribosomal RNA". It matches the Rfam family "Bacterial small subunit ribosomal RNA". The record is from RNAcentral.
GACGAACGCUGGCGGCGUGCUUAACACAUGCAAGUCGAACGGAAAGGCCCUGCUUUUGUGGGGUGCUCGAGUGGCGAACGGGUGAGUAACACGUGAGUAACCUGCCCUUGACUUUGGGAUAACUUCAGGAAACUGGGGCUAAUACCGGAUAGGAGCUCCUGCUGCAUGGUGGGGGUUGGAAAGUUUCGGCGGUUGGGGAUGGACUCGCGGCUUAUCAGCUUGUUGGUGGGGUAGUGGCUUACCAAGGCUUUGACGGGUAGCCGGCCUGAGAGGGUGACCGGCCACAUUGGGACUGAGAUACGGCCCAGACUCCUACGGGAGGCAGCAGUGGGGAAUAUUGCACAAUGGGCGGAAGCCUGAUGCAGCAACGCCGCGUGCGGGAUGACGGCCUUCGGGUUGUAAACCGCUUUCGCCUGUGACGAAGCGUGAGUGACGGUAAUGGGUAAAGAAGCACCGGCUAACUACGUGCCAGCAGCCGCGGUGAUACGUAGGGUGCGAGCGUUGUCCGGAUUUAUUGGGCGUAAAGGGCUCGUAGGUGGUUGAUCGCGUCGGAAGUGUAAUCUUGGGGCUUAACCCUGAGCGUGCUUUCGAUACGGGUUGACUUGAGGAAGGUAGGGGAGAAUGGAAUUCCUGGUGGAGCGGUGGAAUGCGCAGAUAUCAGGAGGAACACCAGUGGCGAAGGCGGUUCUCUGGGCCUUUCCUGACGCUGAGGAGCGAAAGCGUGGGGAGCGAACAGGCUUAGAUACCCUGGUAGUCCACGCUGUAAACGGUGGGUACUAGGUGUGGGGUCCAUUCCACGGGUUCCGUGCCGUAGCUAACGCUUUAAGUACCCCGCCUGGGGAGUACGGCCGCAAGGCUAAAACUCAAAGGAAUUGACGGGGCCCCGCACAAGCGGCGGAGCAUGCGGAUUAAUUCGAUGCAACGCGUAGAACCUUACCUGGGUUUGACAUGGAUCGGGAGUGCUCAGAGAUGGGUGUGCCUCUUUUGGGGUCGGUUCACAGGUGGUGCAUGGCUGUCGUCAGCUCGUGUCGUGAGAUGUUGGGUUAAGUCCCGCAACGAGCGCAACCCUUGUUCACUGUUGCCAGCACGUUAUGGUGGGGACUCAGUGGAGACCGCCGGGGUCAACUCGGAGGAAGGUGGGGAUGACGUCAAGUCAUCAUGCCCCUUAUGUCCAGGGCUUCACGCAUGCUACAAUGGCUGGUACAGAGAGUGGCGAGCCUGUGAGGGUGAGCGAAUCUCGGAAAGCCGGUCUCAGUUCGGAUUGGGGUCUGCAACUCGACCUCAUGAAGUCGGAGUCGCUAGUAAUCGCAGAUCAGCAACGCUGCGGUGAAUACGUUCCCGGGGCCUGUACACACCGCCCGUCAAGUCAUGAAAGUUGGUAACACCCGAAGCCGGUGGCCUAACCGUUGUGGGGGAGCCGUCGAAGGUGGGACUGGUGAUUAGGACUAAGUCGUAACAAGGUAGCCGUACCGGAAGG